UACGGGGGGGGCAAGCGUUGUUCGGAAUUACUGGGCGUAAAGGGCUCGUAGGCGGGCUGCCAAGUCUGGGGUGAAAUCCCACGGCUCAACCGUGGAACUGCCUCGGAUACUGGCGGUCUCGAGGGAGGUAGGGGCAUGCGGAACUGUGGGUGGAGCGGUGAAAUGCGUUGAUAUCCACAGGAACUCCGGUGGCGAAAGCGGCGUGCUGGACCUCUUCUGACGCUGAGGCGCGAAAGCUAGGGGAGCAAACGGG
This 253-nucleotide ribosomal RNA is filed under the name uncultured bacterium. RNAcentral describes it as "partial 16S ribosomal RNA". It matches the Rfam family "Bacterial small subunit ribosomal RNA", at positions 524 to 776 of the family's 1533-position model. The record is from RNAcentral.